UACAGAGGUCUCAAGCGUUGUUCGGAUUCAUUGGGCGUAAAGGGUGCGUAGGUGGCGCUGUAAGUCGGUGUGAAAUUUCGGAGCUUAACUCCGAAACUGCAUUCGAUACUGCCGUGCUUGAGGACUGGAGAGGAGACUGGAAUUUACGGUGUAGCAGUGAAAUGCGUAGAGAUCAUGAGGAAGACCAGUGGCGAAGGCGGGUCUCUGGACAGUUCCUGACACUGAGGCACGAAGGCCAGGGGAGCAAACGGG
Molecule: ribosomal RNA, 252 nt
Filed under: uncultured bacterium
Lineage: Bacteria
Description: partial 16S ribosomal RNA
Rfam family: Bacterial small subunit ribosomal RNA
Source: RNAcentral